RNAcentral lists this ribosomal RNA (121 nucleotides) under uncultured Sulfurihydrogenibium sp. RNAcentral's name for it is "partial 16S ribosomal RNA". It matches the Rfam family "Bacterial small subunit ribosomal RNA", at positions 315 to 433 of the family's 1533-position model. The record is from RNAcentral. Lineage: Bacteria; Pseudomonadati; Aquificota; Aquificia; Aquificales; Hydrogenothermaceae.
ACCAGGGAGGCAGCAGGGGGAAUCUUCUACGGGAGGCAGCAGUGGGGAAUAUUGGGCAAUGGCCGAAAGGCUGACCCAGCAACGCCGCGUGGUGGAUGAAGCCCUUCGGGGUGUAAACACC